AGGAGAGGAGGCUGACACACAUCCAGAACCUUUUAGUCUGCUUUCCUCACUGGACAUUUUGUUUGGUGUUAUUGGCUUGACUUUAAAAUCCCUUGUGAACUUUCAUUAAUCUUGGAGGACACAAUCUAAUUGGUCAUUUGCCCCAUAAUUAAAUAAAGUACCUACAAGGAACCACAAUUAAGGAGCAGCUG
This is a long non-coding RNA of Pseudophryne corroboree (corroboree frog), 191 nucleotides long. RefSeq lists it as uncharacterized. The record is from RefSeq and is a predicted model, not a curated record. Lineage: Eukaryota; Metazoa; Chordata; Amphibia; Anura; Myobatrachidae. The transcript has 4 exons.